This is a long non-coding RNA of Anolis carolinensis (green anole), 7610 nucleotides long. RefSeq lists it as uncharacterized. The transcript has 2 exons. NCBI's taxonomy places the organism in Eukaryota, Metazoa, Chordata, Lepidosauria, Squamata, Anolidae. The record is from RefSeq and is a predicted model, not a curated record.
GCGUUGCAACGCCCGCAGCCCCUGCGCCUUAGGAAUGCGCGGCGACACGCAAGCGGAGCAGAAGCAAAGAGGGGAGGGGACUGGAAGGACGGGUCCGCCCUGCAGAUCUGGUUAUCCAACAUUCGGCCCGCUCGUUUAAGUCGGAUAACUAGAACUCUACUGUAUACGAAUCCAAGGCUGGAGUUAAAAUUGCUGGAAGAAACAUUAACAACCUUAGAUAUGCAGAUGAUACCAUUCUGAUGGCUGAAAGCGAAGAGGAGCUGAGGAGCCUUAUCACCAAGGUGAAAGAAGAAAGUGCAAAAGCUGGCUGCAGUUAAACAUCAAGAAAACCAAGAUGAUGGCAACAAGACUGAUUGAUGAUGGGCAAAUAGAGGGAGAAAACCUGGAGGCAGUGACAGACUUUCUAGGUGCAAAGAUUACUGCAAAGAUGCAGACUGCAGCCAGGAAAUCAGAAAACGUUUACUUCUUGGGAGGAGAGCAAUGACCAAUUUCGAUGAUAAAAUAGUGAAGAGUAGAGACAUCACACUGGCAACGAAGGUCCACAUAGUUAAAGCAAUGGUAUUCCCCUAACCUAUGGAUGCGAGAGCUGGACCAUAAGGAAGGCUGUGCCAAGGAAAAUAGAUGCUUUCAAACUUUGGUGCUGGAGGAAAAUCCUGAAAGUGCCUUGGACCGCAAGAAGAUCCAACCAGUCCGUACUCCAGGAAAUAAUGCCCGGCUACUCACUGGGGGGAAGGAUAUUAGAGGCAAAAAUGAAGUACUUUAGCCACAUAAUGAGAAGACGGGAAAGCUUGAAGAAGAGAAUGAUGCUUGGGGAAAUGGAAGGAAAAAGAAAGAGGGGCCAACCAAGGGCAAGACAGAUGGAUGGGAUCCUUGAAGUGACUGGCUUGAUCUUGAAGGAGCUGGGGGUGGCGACGGCAACAGGGAGCUCUGGUGUGGGCUGGUCCAUGAGGUCAUGGAAGCAACUGAACAAAUAAACAACAUACUGCAUAAUACACGAGUAUAAGCCUAGUUCUUCAGCCCUUUUUUGGGGCUGAAAAAGCUCCCCUCGGCUUAUACUCGAGUGAGGGUCCUGGCCGGCUUCUAUUCAGGUUGGCUUAUACUUGAGUAUAUAGGUAUUCAGAGUUGGCCAGUCUUAUCUUAUUAAAGUCUUAUUAUCUUAAAUUACAAUUUUAUAUAAAUAUUCAAAAACAUUUAACCUAAAAUUAGGUGUCUCGGCUUAUAUUUGGGUCGGCUUAUACUCGAGUAUAUACGGUAUAUAAAACUAGUUCCCAACCUUUGAGCCUCCAGGUGUUUUGGACUUCAGCUCUCACAGUUCCUAACAGCUGGUAAACUGGCUGGGAUUUCUGGGAGUUGAAGUACAAAACACCUGUAGGCCCAAAGGUUGGGAACCACUGAAAAGAAAGUGAAUCAGGAAAUCCCUUAGCCCCCUUCUACACAGCUGAACAAAAUCCCACAUUAUCUGCUUUGAACUGGGUUAUCUGGCAGUGUGGACUCAGACAACCUGGGUUAUAUGGCUGUGUGGAAGGACGCUAAGUUAUUUCAGACUUAAGGCAACCCUCAGUCGAAAGUUUAGGGCAGGGGCUGAGUAAAUGGUCUUGGAGGGCCACAAAGCUCCAGUUGUCUGUCUCCUACUUCCACUGCGUCCGCACAGACACACGAGAAGCCGAGAAGAGGGGAAGUCUGGCUUCUGCUACAAUCUGGCCCACGGGCCUUAGGCCUGUUCUACACAGGUGUAUAAAAUUCACAUAAUCUGACAGUGUAGAAGGGGCUUUAGUUUGGGGACCCCUGUUCUACACCGUAAAAACACAAGUUUGACAUCACUUUCACUGUCCCUUGCUUAAUGCUGUGAGUUUUUUGGGCUGGGACCCACAGGUUGAGAACCAGUGGCAUAAAGGUAGCUUGGCUGUUGUGCCUGGAGGCACCCUUUGUCUGGAACGUGUUAUAAGCUUGCUAAUUGCAACAUUCACACUUGCUUCAAACAGACAAUGAUUUUUUCUUCCACCCUGGAGAUUCCACAGAGAUAUAUACACCUCUCUUGCCUCACUAGCAACAGAACUUCUGAAGAUACUAGCCACAGAUGCAGGUGAAAUGUCAGGAGAGAAUGCUACUGAAACAUAGCCAUACAGCUUGAAAAACUAACAGCAACCCAGUGAUUCUGGCCAUGAAAGCCUUCGAUGACACAUUUUAAAUUUUUUAACUACCUGCUUAAAAUAACUGUUACCCCAUGGGCUUCCUCUUACUACAUGCCCAUUCUGCAAGAUAUUGGCUAUUUCCAAAAAGCCGGUUUGUCCACUUUUAGUGCAGAACAGAUAAAAGGGAAGCAAUAAAGGCACCCUGUUCCCUGUGACAGAUAGUGCAUAAAGGAACUCUUUCUGCUUUUACACAUAAAUCUCAUGGGAGCUUUAGAGGUUAUUUCUCUUGGCUAGGUCCAGCACUCACUGACAACACUUCAUUAAAACAACACAAGUAAUAUUGAGUUACCAGGACUGCCCUUAAUGACAUAGAAUGUUACAUCUCCAUCUGACUGUAGCAACUCAGGAAAUGUGUGAUUUAGCAUUGGUUCUCCACCUUUGGACUUCCAGUUGUUGGGACUUCAAGUCCUAGAAGCCCUAAUCAGCUUGGCCAACUGUCUGGUUUUCUGGGAGCUGAGGUCCAAAACACCUGGAAGACUAAAGGUUGUGAACCACUUUAAGAGGAAGCCACUUGUCAAUGUUGUGUUCCUAACAGCAAUACAAUGCCUUUUCUUAAGUGAACUAAAACCCUGCUAUUAGCAUGAGACAAUUAGCAUCCAGCAUAGUUAAGGUGAAGGAUGAUGGGUGAUGCUGUCCAACACUGAGACUAUAUGCUCUCUGACCUACGGUUGUUGCUGUGUCACAGAAACCAAUUGUUUCUGACUUAUUAUGACCCUAAAACAUGGCUGGGUGGGGAUAUGAGUCCCAGUGCAAUGCUCAAGCAACUACAAUAUGCUGGCUAAUCAUAGGCAAAAGAGUAGUAAUAGAAAAGGUCCAAUGUAUAGCAGUGAAAAGUGGACUGAAGUGCAGCGAUGUCACUCACUAAACUUUCAUCUCCUCCUCCUCAGGGUCAUAGCUGCUAUUAGGUAUUGUGAGACAGGUGCACAGAUUAUGUUCUGCAUGCAGUCCAUUUACAUGAAUGCUGUAUUUUGUGUGUGAGAGUGAUUCAGAAGAGAAUUUGUAGACAUUUCUGCCUCAGUAGGCAAAGUAUAGUUGCCCCCCUCACUAGCAGAUUUGACUUUUGCAAAAUUUGAGUAUUCACAGAUUUAAUUAAAAUCUUCUAAGAUUCUUUAGGUCCUCCAGUGUGACUCUAUGGUCAGCUUACAACAGAAGCUGAAAGCAGUCAUGCUGGAGGACUUAGACAUUCCCAAAGAGGUGUUUUCUCAGGUAAAGAAGCAUUAAAAAAUCACUUCCAUUGCGGUGGCACAGUGGGUUAAACCCUUGUGAACUGCUCAUCUAAAGGUUGCCGGUUUAAAUCUUUGAGAUGGAGUGAGCGUCUGUCUGUCAGCUCUAGCUUACAGGGACAUGAGAGAGGCUUCCCAGUAACCCAUCCAAGUGUCCCCUGGGCAACGUCUCUGUAGAUGGCCAAUUCUCUCACACCAGAAGCGACUUGCAGUAUGUUCUCAAAUCGCUGAUGACACAAUAAAAAAAUUGAGAUCCUGUGCCCCUAACCCCAGCAAAUGUAGAAAUCUGGCUUUGAAUGAUAUAAGUCUUGAUGGGCAGUCAGUAUUUGCUGCUCUGUCUCAGGAAGCAAAAGGUAUUGGGCUUCAUCUGAUAUUAUCAGAGGCUGAAAACUCAUGAAGAAUUGUCAGCAUUAAAUGUUAUUGUCAAUGGAAUUUCACAAUUAUUCAGUCUCAUGACAAUCUUAUAUAAGAAUCUGAGGGAGGUGUUGUGCAAUUGAGUGGCUUUGGGAUGCCUGGCUUUUCAGAUUCAGAAGCCACAGAUUCAGAAGUCACGUGUAGACUAACUCGAUACAGGAAACAGAACAUUAUAAACACAAAAAAUGUAGACAUGGUGAAUGACAGAUAUAAAAUUAAUUUUUUUGAGACAGGGUGUUUCUUUUUAAUUUUCAAAAAAGGAAGUUAAGACAUCUCAUGAGCCACUAGCCAUUGUGUCCAGAUGACAUGUGUUAAGAAUAUAUUUAUGUUUUUUAAUGGCAAGAGCUGUGUGACAUAGGAACAUGCCCCCAAGAACAGAGAUGAGAGAGCGAGAAGAUAUAGCAGCUAAAAACAACCUUGGUAGAUAGGCACAGCAAAAAGACAUUUCUGAUGGACGGCCAAAAGGAAAUCUACAGAGGCCCUGAGAUGGAAGCAUCACAAUUGGAUUGCACUCCUAAUCAUUUGGAACUGUAACAACCCCCUAGGUAUUGAAAGCUAAAUUAUCUUCCUUUGUAUGUGAAACUAAUUAGCUUUUGUAUGCUCUCCUGGAGGACUUUGCCUUGAAAGGCAUCAUAAAGUUCUCCUAAAUAAACAGAUCUAAAGUAAGACUUCUUACUCUAUAAGACAAAAUAUAAAGAAUAUUAUUUUGCAGACAUUCUCCCUCUCUCCAUUCACACCCACACAAAUGAAAAUUAAAUCUGUCAUAUAGGAAACAACUGAGAUAACCCUAAUAUUUUUUUCUCCUCCAAUUCUCCUUUCUAACGUUUCUAUUAAGACUGAAGAGAGAAGAGGGCCAUGUAACCAAAGAUAUAUUUGUUUAAUUCUGGCAUUAUUUCCUUUUUUUCAACCUUGUGAGCUGUAUAAUUCAAGAACAUUUCUGUUAAGGGGCUGGGCUUAGCUCAGCAGGCAAACCACUAGCUGCAGAAAAUCCUGUGGAUCGAAAGGUCAGUAGUUCAAGCCCAGGUUGGGGUGUGCACCUGCCAUCAGCCCCAGCUCCCUGCUCAUCUAGCAGAUCAAAAGCAGAAAUCUGAGUAGAUAAAUAGUACCACUUAAAAAACGCUUAAAAGGCGCCCAUAAGGCAAUUUUAUCCAGACAAAACAACAACAAAACCUUAUUUAUAUACCGCUAUCACCCGCAGGGACUCAUGGAGGUUUACACAUGGUAAACAUUCAAUACCAGCAUACAACAUACAACAAUCCAAUAAUAACAUCACAAUUUAAACAUGAUAAGAAAUUAAAAUGAUGUGCUCAUUUGAUAUAAAAAGCAAUUUCAAAUAGCUUCAUUGGGUGAUUCAACAACCAAUGGGCAUGGUUUUCCAGAUGGAUCAUGAUGGCUGUAAGAGUUAGGGUAGGGUUCACACAGUAAAAAUAACAUAAAGCCAGGGUAGAAGCGUGAGUGAUAGCAAGGAGCAUAAGACGGGAUUACACCACUUCAGACCUGCUGAGUAGCUAUAAUGGUAAAAUUAGUUAAACUAACACUAUGACAAAAUCAAAGGAAGUGGGUAAAGUGCAGAACAGGGACCAUAUGAUAGCCAGGGUGGAGUCUGAGGUUUCAGGUUAGUCACUUCCAAAAGCCUGUUGAAACCACCAGGGUUUUAGAUCCCUACAGAAGGAUAAUACCGAUGGGGCUUGCCUUAUCUCUUUGGGGAGGGUGUUCCAGAGGCAGGGGGGCCACCACCGAGAAGGCCCUUUCCCUCGAUCCCACCAACCGUAUCUGAGACGGCAGUGGGAAUGAGAGGAGGGCCUCCCCAGAGGAUCUAAGGGUCCAUGCAGGGACAUAGGGGGAGAUGCAAUUGUGAAGGUAGGCGGAGCCCCAAACGUUUAGGGCAGUGAUUCCCAAAGUGUGUGCUACCGCCCCCUGGUGGGCGCUGCAGCGAUACAGGGAGGCAGUGAUGGCACCUAUUAGGACACAGGGGCGGGGCCAGGGGAGGGGCGCGGCUUCUUCCCAAGAGCCCAAGACAGGGCUGAGAAUCUAUACCUCUCCUGAGGCGCUUGUUGGGACACAGAGGGUGGAGCUAGAGCCUGAGACAGGGCCGAGCCUCUAUACCUCUCCUGAGAGGCCUUUUAGGACUAAAGGGCGGGGUAGGGGCAGGGGCGGGGCCUCUUCUCAAGACCCCCUGUUACCUCACCUGAGGUGCUUGUUAGAACACGGGGGCGAGGUAUAGAGGUUCAGCCCCGUCAGGCACUUGGGAAGAGGCCCCGCCCACUCCUCUAGCCCCGCCCCCAGUGUCCUGGCAGGACAGGGAUAGAAGCUCAGCCCUGUCUCAGAGCUCAUAACUCUGCCCAUCCCAAUCCUGGCCGCCCAUUUGUGGCCCCGCCCACCUCCGCCUCCGCCUCCCACUCCCAGCCCUGCAUCUUGGACUAGGGGAGAGGCUCGGCCCCACCCUCUUGAGCAGGAGCCACGCCCACCCCUCUAGGCCACGCCCCCUUUCCAGGGGGCGCUGAGUAAUAUUUUUUCUGGAAAGGGAGCGGUAGGCCAAAUAAGUUUGGGAACCACUGGUUUAGGGCGUUAUAGGUCAUAACCUGCACCUUGAAUAGGUGCAGAGGACAUCCAAGGACAACAAAGCUCCUCGGCAUGGAAGAUGGAGUGAGAGUGUGAUGACUCAUGGGUCAUGUAGUCCCAUUCCUAGUGCUGUUGUGACUGACGAAGAGGAGAACUUGGGUUUUCCUCCAUUUCAGCCAGAAAGGGAACCAUUUCAGCCAGAAAUUGAGCCUUUGCACCUGCAGGAGGCUUGUCUUCCAGAAAUCUCCCAAACAAGCCCGGAGUCGAGUUCUCCCCCUUUUUCUCCCCCUUUUUCGCGCCGUAAUUACAUUCUCCAGCAGAAAGGAGUGCAACAGGCUAAUCGCAGGAGUUUGAGAAUAGCAGCAAAGCAUUCAGAUGAUUAAAGCCUGUUCCCAUGAGAAAUUUUAGGGAGUCAUACAUCUGGACACAGAGAUUGACUUUCGUUUCUGGUUCCCCAGAGAAGUGUUCUCUGGUGGGGAAAACAAGGCCUAUUUAGGUUCCUUGCUCCCGGAGGGAUCUUGCGGAGUCAAUUUCGUCAGCAACUGGAGUAGUGUGUGUGGACAGCUACUCCGCUUCCAAGCCUUUGUUCCUGAUUCAAGCCUUCGUUUUCCAGCCUUGUUCCUCCACGGAUUUUGCCUUGCUUUCCAAGACCCAGCCUUGCCUUGUUUCCCGGAUUUUGCCAAGUAAAUACCACGGAUCUUGUCCUUGCUCCUCGUUCCUUGCUGCCUUGUAUCCAAGCCUUGUUUUUCCAAGAAUCAAGUUACUUCCUAGCCUCGUUCAAGUUCAUGGACUAAAAGACCUUGUCAUCUCCCCUCACUUUGCCUGGCAAAGUGAGUGUUUCGGUUAUUGGAUUACAACUUUGGACCUUAAUAUUUCAUAUUGGACAUUGCUUCUUUGGACUAAUUUUGACCUUUCCUGAAAGGUCUACUCCUGGACUAAUUCAUACGCUUGCUUUUAUUAACUUUACAUAUUUCUUUAAUAAAGAUAUUAGAUAGAUUCUGGCCUCUGUGCAUGGUUAUUGGUGCUCUGCUGCCUGGGUCCUGACAGAGAGCACCUCCCCCCACCCACAUGGCUAUUGUCGAGCACAGCCUCCAAAUGCCAGAAAUGGAAAAGAUGGAAAAAGCCCUGUCUAGGUAUCGUCUGUCCUAGUUAACUGUGUAACAGCAUUGAAUGUUUGCUGUAUAUGUGUUAUAUAAAUAAAUAUAAAGUAUAUUAUUAA